Molecule: ribosomal RNA, 467 nt
Filed under: uncultured bacterium
Lineage: Bacteria
Description: partial 16S ribosomal RNA
Rfam family: Bacterial small subunit ribosomal RNA
Source: RNAcentral
GAUGAACGCUGGCGGCGUGCUUAACACAUGCAAGUCGAACGGAAAGGCCCAAGCUUGCUUGGGUACUCGAGUGGCGAACGGGUGAGUAACACGUGGGUGAUCUGCCCUGCACUUCGGGAUAAGCCUGGGAAACUGGGUCUAAUACCGGAUAGGACCACUUCUUGGAUGUUGUGGUGGAAAGUUUUUUCGGUGUGGAAUGAGCUCGCGGCCUAUCAGCUUGUUGGUGGGGUAAUGGCCUACCAAGGCGUCGACGGGUAGCCGGCCUGAGAGGGUGUACGGCCACAUUGGGACUGAGAGACGGCCCAGACUCCUACGGGAGGCAGCAGUGGGGAAUAUUGCACAAUGGGCGCAAGCCUGAUGCAGCGACGCCGCGUGGGGGAUGACGGCCUUCGGGUUGUAAACUCCUUUCGCUAGGGACGAAGCGUUUUGUGACGGUACCUGGAGAAGAAGCACCGGCUAACUACGUG